RNAcentral lists this long non-coding RNA (3462 nucleotides) under Homo sapiens (human). RNAcentral's name for it is "non-protein coding lnc-ADAMTS12-6:5". The record is from RNAcentral. Lineage: Eukaryota; Metazoa; Chordata; Mammalia; Primates; Hominidae.
GGCGACCUGGAUACCAUCUUCGACACGGGGACAAAUCCCGGGAUGGAGUCCAGGGUUUCCCGCGGCUUCGGCGCUUCCUGACCUGGCGUGACUGCCGACUUGUCGGCACCACCCAGGCCUCAGGCUCCCUGUCUGUAGUGGUGAAUCGACCUUCCUCAUGGCAGUCCAGGCUUCCCAAGCCCCAUGUCCUGUUGAUCCGGGACAAACUCUUCCUUGAACGUUCUUCACUACGAGCCGCUGCUGAUCUGUACUGCCUGGAGGAGCAUUUCCAUAGCGCCCGCAAAAAUACAAUAAAGCUCACCCAAGGAAAUAACCAUGGAUUCUCACGCCUGGGUGCCAGUGUUUGGAAUCGACUGGGCUUUUUUAUGUUAGUAGGCAAUUUAAAACAAUUACUUAUUUGAAAUCAGAAGCGCAAUAGGCAUAACUUCAGGUACGUGCUCCACCACCACGUUUUGUGGAUUUUUCUUUUUAAACAUCAGUUCUGUUCUCUACAACUCUCCGCCUUCAGGGUUAUACUUUCCAGGAACAAUAGCUUCCCAAUUCGGCUUUGUGCAUCCAUUUUUCAUACAGCAUCGUUGUAGUCUUCAAAUACAAAUAUGAUCACGGCAAUCUGCUGAAAAAUCUUUGGUGGCUUUCCCUUGCUCUUGGACAAUCCCUGAUUGUCCAAGUUUUCGGCUUCAUCUCGUUCGCCCACCAUACACUGAACUAUAAACUGUAGUGGCUUUUUUUCCUCAGGUCUUCCCACAGACUAAGUACCAAGAUUUUUCCACCCUACCCUCAUCCGUGCUCAUUCCGACACACUUUUUGCCUGUUUGACACCUCAUUUAUUGUCAGAUUUCAAGAAUCGUUUUCUUCGGGGAACCAUUUCUUGACUCCCUUACUGGAUGAAACAAGCCUCCCUGUUAAACAGUGUUGGAGGCGCAGAAACAUACCCCCAAAUAAUGGCGUUUUGACAUCUGAACUGAAGAAGCCUCAAGGUCCCACUCCCCUAAAUCCCCACGCCAUCUCUGCCAAAGCAAAGGAUAAAGUUUAGACACAUCACAAGGAACAUAAUUGUUUUUGUUGCCUCCCUGUAAGACCAAGAAUGUAGUAAUCACACCUGAGCAGACCCUUUCACAAGAUGUUGUACAAAUUAAUGUGUUCCUGAUACAUUCAUUCUCCUUUGUAAUCCCUCAACAGAAUUCCUCUUCUCCCUAUCAUAACCUGUGUCGCUGGGAUUGUAUCCACAAGCUUCUGAAGCCCUCUGAGGGGUGGGUAAUCACGCUGUGAUUCUUCCUGUGUAUACACGUUAAGUAAAUUUGUAUGUUUUUUCUAUUAAUGUUCCUCAUGUUAGUGAUUUUCAGCCAAACCUCAGAGGGCCAAGGAGAAAGGUCCCCUUGGCGCUUACAAUAGUGUCUGCUGGUAGUUUCAUGUGGUUCUUGGUAGAACUUACCGGUUCAACUUGUUCUUUCACUAUGUGUGUAUUUAGAGCUAAGCAAGUUUACUAUAUAUGUGUAUAUAUAUAUAUAUAUACACACACACACACAUAUACACAUACGUAUAUGUAUAUACAUAUAUUAUAUAUAUAUAUAUGCACAGUAAUGGUUCUGAUCAGUUGGCCUAAGAGUACACCCUAUGUGGGGCUUCACGUACUGCUACACUCACAGGCAGAAUUGGGGGUUGUUUUUCUGUCCAGAGUGAUUGAUCCUGAUUACAAGGGGACAAGCGGGUUUCUUCUACAUAAAGGAGAAUUUUGUCAAGAACCCAGGAGAUUCACUGAGACCUUUUUUAGUACUUCCUUGUCUAAUGUUUCGCUGUUGGAAAACUCUGGGAACCCAACAAAGACAAGGAAGGAAGGAAGGUUUGGGCUAUCCUUCUAGGUAAAGAAUCUAGUCUAGCGAGGUCCUGACAAAGGCUAAGGGUAACUUGAAAAGGUGCUAGGAGAACAGAGUUAUGCAAUAUUAGCUACCUAAUUUGCAGAUUACAUAUAUAUGUAUACACAUAUACAUAUGUGUGUGUGUGUGUGUGUGUGUGUAUAUAUAUAUAACUGCUCUUUAGCUGACACCUUGAUUUUAAUAAUAGUCCUUUUCUUUUCUUUUUUCUUUGAGAUGAGGUCUUGCUCCAUUACCCAGGCUGGAGUGCAGUGGCACAAUCAUAGCUCACUACAGACUCAAACUGCUGUACUCAAGCAGUCCUUCUGCCUCAGCUUCCCAAGUAGGUAGGACUGCAGGCACACACCACCACACCCAGUUAAUUUUUUCUUAUUUUUUAUUCUAUCUAUCUAUCCAUUUAUUUAUUUUUGAGACAGAGUCUUGCUCUGUUGCCCAGGCUGGAGUGCAGUGGUGUGAUCACAGCUCACUGCAGCCUUGAUCUCCCAGGCUCAAUUGAUCCCCUCGCCACAGUCUCCUGAACAGCUGGGACUACAGGUGCACACCACCACGCUCGGCUAAUAUAUAUAUUUUUUAAUUUUUAGUAGACAUGAGGUCUCACUAUGUUACCCAGACUUGUCUCAAACUCCUGAGCUUAAGCUCUUCUCCUACCUUGCAAGUUUAUAGUUUUUUUAAAAUAUAUUUUAUCUCCUUGAUUGAAAACUUCACGAAAGCACACUUUGUGUAUUUUUGCCAGCAUCUGGAAGAUGUAAACCUAUCGCACAGCAGAUGUUCAAUAAAUGUUGAGUGUUGAGACAAAACUUGCUUAAUUUUUCAAGCAAGGUUUGGAAAAUUACCUCUUUAUUUGUAUUAUAAAAGAAGUCAAAACCCCUUUACUAACUAGAUCUAGAAGAAAGUUUAUGAUGAGAGUAGAUUAUUAGUAGUGCUUGAUAUUCCAGGAGUUAUGUACAAUUUUAAUAGGCUUAAAUAGACCAAACUAACUCCCCACAUUUAAAUUAGAAUGAGAAUCAAUAGGAUCUAAUCUUACCUUUUAAUGUAAAACAAUUUAAUUAUGCUCAUUAGACACAUUUGCCUGAAUUGUAUCUUAAUUUUAACUAAGUAUAAUGAAAACCAGAGAGAUCAAGAUUCCUGAAUUUGCUGGAUGCAGAAAAUGAUAGGCUAACAAUUAUAUUUAACUGCUAUAUAACAUUGUUUCUAGCAGCUUCUCUUAACUCUUUGUUCUCUUUCAACUUUAAAAACAGUCCUCAUUUAAGUAUGGCAAAAAGAAAAAGCAGAAGGCGUUUCUUUUUUUAAAUAUAUUUUUAUUAUACUUUAAGUUCUAGGGUACAUGUGCACAACGUGCAGGUUUGUUACAUAUGUAUACAUGUGCCAUGUUGGUGUGCUGCACCCAUUAACUCGUCAUUUACAUUAGUUAUAUCUCCUAAUGCUAUCCCUCCCCCGUCCCCCAACCCCACAACAGGCCCCGGUGUGUGAUGUUCCCCUUCCAGUGUCCAGGUGUUCCCAUUGUUCAAUUCCCACCUAUGAGUGAGGACAUGCGGUGUUUGGUUUUUUGUCCUUAUGAUAGUUUGCUGAGAAUGAUGGUUUCCAGCUUCAU